AGAGUUUGAUCCUGGCUCAGGAUGAACGCUGGCGGCAUGCCUAAUACAUGCAAGUCGAACGAGGAUCCUUGUGGAUCCUAGUGGCGAACGGGUGAGUAACACGUAGGGAACCUGCCCGCGCACCGGGAAUACGCUCUGGAAACGGAGAACAAAUCCCGAUGUACAGGAAGGAGGCAUCUUCUUUCUGUGAAACAUCCUGUAAGGGAUGGGGCGCGGAUGGACCUGCGGUGCAUUAGUUGGUUGGCGAGGGUAAAGGCCCACCAAGACGAUGAUGCAUAGCCGGCCUGAGAGGGCGGACGGCCACAUUGGGACUGAGACACGGCCCAGACUCCUGCGGGAGGCAGCAGUAGGGAAUUUUCGUCAAUGGGCGCAAGCCUGAACGAGCGAUGCCGCGUGAGUGAAGAAGGCCUUCGGGUCGUAAAGCUCUGUUGCGGGGGAAAAAAGGCAUCUGCAGGAAAUGGUAGAUGACAGAUGGUGCCCCGCCAGAAAGUCACGGCUAACUACGUGCCAGCAGCCGCGGUAAUACGUAGGUGGCGAGCGUUAUCCGGAAUGAUUGGGCGUAAAGGGUGCGCAGGCGGUCCUGCAAGUCUGGAGUGAAACGUAUGACCUCAACUCAUGCA
Molecule: ribosomal RNA, 620 nt
Filed under: uncultured bacterium
Lineage: Bacteria
Description: bacterial SSU rRNA
Rfam family: Bacterial small subunit ribosomal RNA
Source: RNAcentral